ACUACCAAACAGACAAUAACAGUUGAACAGUCUGCUUAAGAAAUGUUAGACCGUCGCGUCAAACAUCUCUUAAUGUAGGGUAAUAAAAGCAUCUCUGCCAACCUUGCUUGGACUAUUUGGUAGCGAAUUCACAGAAAAACUGGCAGCAAAACGCAAGUUCGAAAUACAGUAAAACUUCGUUAUCUCGAGUACUGAUCGGGACAGACCAAAUGCUCGAGAUAAACCAGGUGCUCGUUAUAACCAAAGUUCAUAUUCAGCUGAUUGUAUUACUUAGAGCAAAUUCGCCGGGACUUCGAAAUUUGCUCGAGAUAGGCAGAGUGCUCGCAAUAUCGAUGCUCGAGAUAACGAAGUUUUACUGUAAUAGGGAUCUGUAACGAACCAUAAUCAUAAAGAACUCUUUUCUUAUAUGUCAUCAGUGAUUACCAUUUGUAACAGAUCACUAUGCUUG
Molecule: small RNA, 448 nt
Filed under: Spisula solidissima (Atlantic surf clam)
Lineage: Eukaryota; Metazoa; Mollusca; Bivalvia; Venerida; Mactridae
Description: cnRNA167
Source: RNAcentral